CCCUUAGAUGUCCGGGGCCGCACGCGCGCUACACUGAAGGAAUCAGCGUGGCUUUCUCCCUGACCCGAAAGGGUUGGGAAACCCGUUGAAUCUCCUUCGUGAUAGGGAUUGGGGCUUGAAAUUGUUCCCCAUGAACGAGGAAUUCCCAGUAAGCGCGAGUCAUAAGCUCGCGUUGAUUACGUCCCUGCCCUUUGUACACACCGCCCGUCGCUACUACCGAUUGAAUGGUUUAGUGAGAUCCUUGGAUCGGCCCCGUCGCGGCUGGCAACGGCCGCGUCGGCGUGUCGAGAAGACGAUCAAACUUGAUCAUUUAGAGGAAGUAAAAGUCGUAACA
RNAcentral lists this ribosomal RNA (334 nucleotides) under uncultured eukaryote. Its description in RNAcentral is "partial 18S ribosomal RNA". It matches the Rfam family "Eukaryotic small subunit ribosomal RNA", at positions 1470 to 1796 of the family's 1831-position model. The record is from RNAcentral.